GCAGCACCGCACCCACUCCAGCGACCGCGGGCCACGUGUGGAUGUCAAAGCAACAGGCGCCGCCCCCUCCUCCACAGCAGCCCCCACAGGCUCCGCAAGCCCCACAGGCGCCUCCGCAGCAGCAAGCACCCCCGCAGCCGCAGCAGGCACCCCAGCAGCAGCAGGCGCACACGCUCACCACGCUGAGCAGCGAGCCAGGCCAGUCCCAGAGAACGCACAUCAAGACGGAGCAACUGAGCCCGAGCCACUACAGCGAGCAGCAGCAGCACUCCCCGCAACAGAUCUCCUACAGCCCCUUCAACCUUCCGCACUACAACCCCUCCUACCCAACCAUCACGCGCUCGCAGUAUGACUACACCGACCACCAGAACUCCGGCUCCUACUACAGCCACGCAGCCGGCCAGGGCUCGGGGCUCUACUCCACCUUCACCUACAUGAACCCAGCGCAGCGCCCCAUGUACACCCCCAUCGCUGACACCUCCGGGGUCCCUUCCAUCCCGCAGACCCACAGCCCUCAGCACUGGGAACAACCCGUCUACACACAGCUCACCAGACCCUGAGGAGACCUUGAAGAGCAAUGGUGACAGAGUUGAUCUUUUUUUUUUUUUUUUUUUAAGAAGAAAAGGAAAAAGAAAACGCUGAAGAAAAUCAAGAACCAAUUGAAAUUCCUUUGGACACUUUUUUUUUUUGGUCUGUCGUUAUUUUUUAAAGAUGUAAGUGAAGGUAACGAUUGCUGAGAUUCCAGGAGAGAGACUUUAAGACAUUAUCUGAGCUCAUGCAAACACGUUGCAAAUGGCCCGGCCAUUCGUGGCCAGAUGGACCCACCAGCGUCAGUGAGGAAGGGCUUGGCUCCUUCAGAGUUAGUGAGGAGGAUGAUUGGAGAAUCUCCCUGCCUGUUUGGACUUUGUAAUUAUUUUUUAGCCGUAAUUAAAGGAAAAAAAAGUCCUCUGUGAGGAAUAUUCUCUAUUUUAAAUACUUUUAGUAUGUACUGUGUAUGACUCAUUACCAUUUUGAGGGGAUUUAUACAUAUUUUAGAUAAAAAAGUUAAAUGCUCUUAUUUUUCCAACAGCUUAACUUCUCCUAGUUCAAGAGUGUCCCCUAGCCUUCCUUGCAACCAGAGUAUUUUUGUACAGAUUUGCUUUCUCCUAAACAGACAAAAAAACAAAAACAAAAACAAAACAAACAAAAAAAUGGAAAAAAAAAGAAAAAGAAAAAAACGUGUUGUUAUAGUAACAUAAGCAAUAUACAGAAUUUUGUUACACCAUCAGUUUUGGGGGUGAGCUUUGAUUAAUUCCCCAGGCUCUCAGAUUUCAGGAGCAGCUGCCUUAAAAAAAGAAAGAGAGAAAGAG
RNAcentral lists this long non-coding RNA (1349 nucleotides) under Rattus norvegicus (Norway rat). RNAcentral describes it as "long non-coding RNA NONRATT005027". The record is from RNAcentral. Lineage: Eukaryota; Metazoa; Chordata; Mammalia; Rodentia; Muridae.